UACCUGCAGCUCAAGUGGUGGCCGCUAUUAUUGGGCCUAAAACGUUCGUAGCCGGUUUGGUAAAUGCCUGGGUAAAUCGUGUAGCUUAACUAUACGAAUUCCGGGUAGACUGCCAAACUUGAGACCGGGAGAAGCUAGAGGUACUCCUGGGGUAGAGGUGAAAUUCUGUAAUCCUAGGGGGACCACCAGUGGCGAAGGCGUCUAGCUAGAACGGGUUUGACGGUGAGGAACGAAGCCCUGGGGCGCAAACCGGAUUAGAUACCCGGGUAGUCCAGGGUGUAAACGCUGCUUGCUUGAUGUUAGUUGGGCUCCGAGCCCAAUUAGUGUCGGAGAGAAGUUGUUAAGCAAGCUGCCUGGGAAGUACGAUCGCAAGAUUGAAACUUAAAGGAAUUGGCGGGGGAGCACAGCAACGGGUGGAGCGUGCGGUUU
This 429-nucleotide ribosomal RNA is filed under the name uncultured archaeon. RNAcentral describes it as "bacterial SSU rRNA". It matches the Rfam family "Archaeal small subunit ribosomal RNA", at positions 474 to 903 of the family's 1478-position model. The record is from RNAcentral.